AUAUUUAUCUGUUCUUGAACACACUAGGAUUACGAAAAUGGUUUUCUCAGAACGAGACUUAUUUAUCGGACUUUGGAUGUGCUGAUCCCCGCGAUUUCCCCUAUAUGUGGAAUACUUGACUGCGUAAUUUGUGCUUUUGGUGGCUUGCACUCGCGCUUUCCUUUG
RNAcentral lists this small nuclear RNA (165 nucleotides) under Loxodonta africana (African savanna elephant). RNAcentral's name for it is "U1 spliceosomal RNA (ENSLAFG00000024187.1)". It matches the Rfam family "U1 spliceosomal RNA". From Rfam's summary of the family: U1 is a small nuclear RNA (snRNA) component of the spliceosome (involved in pre-mRNA splicing). Its 5' end forms complementary base pairs with the 5' splice junction, thus defining the 5' donor site of an intron. The record is from RNAcentral. Lineage: Eukaryota; Metazoa; Chordata; Mammalia; Proboscidea; Elephantidae.